GUUUGAUCAGUACAUUGUAAGUGUUAAAAAUCGAAAAUUUUAGCUUUUUAUAAUAUAUUAAUAUUCAGCACUGGAAUUUUAAAAAUUAUUUUUAUCAAAUUUGAUUAAUUUAUUUACCUUUUGACUGAUUGAAAUCCUAAAAAUAAAUAAAUUACAAAGAAAAAGCAUACUAAUUAAGCAAUUAGUUGUAAAUUAAUGCUUAAAAAACAACAACAAUAUCACUAAAUAAUUUAGUUUUAAAAUCACUAAAAUGGAAGAUUUCAAGAACUUUCUUUCUUCAGAUCAAUGAUAAUCAAGACUUUAUCACUUAAAAAAUAAAAAUAUUGAUCUACCAACCAACACCCAGCUGGCCAAUCAUGGCAUCAUAGCUUAGCUAGCUAUGCCAGUGAUGAUUACAUUACCAUUAAGACAAUUUAUUACUAUUAUUUAAUAUUCUAGAUUAUGAUCAAUUCAAU
This 455-nucleotide unclassified non-coding RNA is filed under the name Hevea brasiliensis (rubber tree). Lineage: Eukaryota; Viridiplantae; Streptophyta; Magnoliopsida; Malpighiales; Euphorbiaceae. The record is from RNAcentral.